Otolemur garnettii (small-eared galago) is the source of this 141-nucleotide small nuclear RNA. Its record names the gene U4. It matches the Rfam family "U4 spliceosomal RNA". Rfam says of the family: U4 small nuclear RNA (U4 snRNA) is a component of the major U2-dependent spliceosome. The structure of U4 snRNA from yeast and human has been reported. U4 snRNA presents a k-turn RNA motif in the 5p-SL related to recognition of Snu13 protein. NCBI's taxonomy places the organism in Eukaryota, Metazoa, Chordata, Mammalia, Primates, Galagidae. The record is from Ensembl.
AACUUUGCACCUUGUCAGUAUCAUAGCCAAUGAGGUUUAUCCAAGGCAUGAUUAUUGCUAACUGAAAACUUUUCCCAAUACCCUGCCAUGAUGACUUUAAAUACAAUCAGCAUUGGCAAUUUUUGACGGUCUCUAUGGAGA